This 531-nucleotide ribosomal RNA is filed under the name Aulacaspis rosarum (Asiatic rose scale). RNAcentral describes it as "eukaryotic LSU rRNA". Lineage: Eukaryota; Metazoa; Arthropoda; Insecta; Hemiptera; Diaspididae. The record is from RNAcentral.
AUCUGGGCGGCGGAAUUCAGGACGGUCGGGCGGGUCUCGCGCUCGUCGGGCCGUUUGAUAUUUCCGUCGCCGUGUCAGACGUCGCGACCUGUUCGUCGUCGGUCCUUGCUCGGAGGAAGCGCGAUCGAGUUCGUUGCGGGCGCGCUUCGGUGCGUUCCGCGGCGAAGACGCGACUCUCUGGCUGACGACGGACAGUAAGCAACGGUGUCCGGCGUCGUGUCUCGCACUCGACGUCGGUGCCGGUCAGCGACGAUUUCUUCGGGCCUCUUUCCGACCCGUCUUGAAACACGGACCAAGGAGUCUAACAUGCGCGCGAGUCGCGGGGUUUCGAGCGUGCCACGGUGCGCUCGUUACUUCCGAAACCCGUACGUUGAAGGCGUAAUGAAAGUGAAUAGGGAAGAUGGCGUUCCGAGUCCACGUACCGUGAUCGAGUAUCGCGGCCGGACGUCCGCACUCCCGGGGCGUCUCAAUGGCUCGCCACGGAUGCGGACGGUCGUCUCUCGGGGCGGCCGUCGGUCUGUGGCGGUCCGA